GACGAACGCUGGCGGCGUGCUUAACACAUGCAAGUCGAACGGAAAGGCCCUGCUUUUGUGGGGUGCUCGAGUGGCGAACGGGUGAGUAACACGUGAGUAACCUGCCCUUGACUUUGGGAUAACUUCAGGAAACUGGGGCUAAUACCGGAUAGGAGCUCCUGCUGCAUGGUGGGGGUUGGAAAGUUUCGGCGGUUGGGGAUGGACUCGCGGCUUAUCAGCUUGUUGGUGGGGUAGUGGCUUACCAAGGCUUUGACGGGUAGCCGGCCUGAGGGGGUGACCGGCCACAUUGGGACUGAGAUACGGCCCAGACUCCUACGGGAGGCAGCAGUAGGGAAUAUUGCACAAUGGGCGGAAGCCUGAUGCAGCAACGCCGCGUGCGGGAUGACGGCCUUCGGGUUGUAAACCGCUUUCGCCUGUGACGAAGCGUGAGUGACGGUAAUGGGUAAAGAAGCACCGGCUAACUACGUG
RNAcentral lists this ribosomal RNA (468 nucleotides) under uncultured bacterium. Its description in RNAcentral is "partial 16S ribosomal RNA". It matches the Rfam family "Bacterial small subunit ribosomal RNA", at positions 28 to 507 of the family's 1533-position model. The record is from RNAcentral.